ACUCGGCGUAAAGAGUGGUUAAAUUAUCCUUUUUAAUAAAGCCGAAUGCCCCCACUACUGUUAUACGUUUUCGGGGGUAAGAAGCCCUUCUACGAAAGUAGCUUUACCUACAUUGACCCCACGAAAGCCGUGAAACAAACUGGGAUUAGAUACCCCACUAUGCACAGCUGUAAACUUUGGCAGUUUAGUACAUACACUGCCCGCCAGGGAACUACAAGCAUCAGCUUAAAACCCGAAGGACUUGGCGGUGCUUAAGAUCCACCUAGAGGAGCCUGUUCUAGAACCGAUAACCCCCGUUUAACCUCACCCUCUCUUGUUUUUCCCGCCUAUAUACCGCCGUCGUCAGCUUACCCUGUGAAGGCUUAAUAGUAAGCAAAAUGGCCA
RNAcentral lists this ribosomal RNA (384 nucleotides) under Dialommus macrocephalus (foureye rockskipper). RNAcentral's name for it is "partial 12S ribosomal RNA". It matches the Rfam family "Bacterial small subunit ribosomal RNA", at positions 553 to 1107 of the family's 1533-position model. Lineage: Eukaryota; Metazoa; Chordata; Actinopteri; Blenniiformes; Labrisomidae. The record is from RNAcentral.